AUCUAACGCGUGACGGAAACAAAAAGCGACCCACGAGAAGCGCGAAGAGAGAGACGCACUAGCGAAUUCGCAUCGCUGCUUCGAAGAACGAACGGGAGUCAGGAGGAUCGAUCGAUCGAUCGAUCGGCCAAGGGCAGAUUGAGAGGGAACAAAGGAGUGGUGAUUCGGAGGGGAGAGAGAUGGUGGACGAGACGAGGAACCAGAUGAUGCAGAACCUCUUCGGCGAUCAGUCGGAGGAGGAGGAGGAGGAAGAGGAGGAGGUCGACUCCGAGCACCACCACCACGCCGCCGCCGCCGCCAACCAUUCUGAUUACCAAUCGGAUGAAGGGGAAGGUGAGGCUGAGGAUGAUGAUGGUGAAGGUGAAGGUGAAGGUGAAAUUGAGGGGCAAGAGGAGGUUGAAGUUGAAAGUGAAGCUGAAGCAUAUAAUGUUGAUCUUGAGCAGGGAGAGAGUGAGGGGGAAAGGGUUCAGAGUUCUCCAGAAAGAGAAGUCAGUGACCCGAAGAUGGAAAGUGAACCAAAAGAUGCUGAAAGUGAAGAGGAAGGCUAUGGACAAAGGGUAGUGACUAGCAGGAGAAGAGAAGUGGUGGCCAGUGAGUCUGAAGGUGAUCGUGAAGAUGAAGAGAUGGACUCUGAUCAACACAGGCAACCCAGGUUAAUGAGUGAGCAAAAGGACCAUGAAGUUGUUCGUAAUGUAUUUGGGGAUUCUGAUGAGGAUGAACCAGCUGAAUAUGGUGGUCAAGAUGAAAUUGAGCAAGAAUUACAUAGAUCUCCUAUGGAGGAAGAAACAAACUAUGAGAGAGAGAUAAGACCAGAAGACGUAGUCCCUGAUGAUGAUAUGCAGUAUGCUUCAGAGGAUGAUAAUUUUGAAGAGAAACCUAAAGAUAAACCAGUUGGCCCACCACUGGAUUUGGAGUUUUCAUCACAAGAACCACCAGGGCGACCUGAUAAGAUGAACGCUAUUAAAGUCUCUAACAUCAUGGGUAUUGAACCAAAACCCUUUGAUCCUAAGACAUAUGUAGAAGAUGAUGUUUAUGUGACAGAUGAAUCUGGUGCAAAGAAGCGGAUUCGCCUAGAGGACAAUAUUGUGCGCUGGAGAAGAGUCAAGAAUCGUGAUGGCACAGUCUCUUAUGAAAGCAAUGCACGGUUUGUGAGAUGGAAAGAUGGAAGCCUACAAUUAUUAAUUGGGAAUGAGGUUCUUGAUAUAUCAGUGCAUGAUGCACAUCAGGACCAGAGCCACCUAUUUCUUAGGCAUGGAAAGGGAAUUCUGCAAUCUCAAGGGAGGCUUUUACAAAAGAUGAAGUUUAUGCCAUCUUCAUUAUCUUCAAAGUCCCAUCGUUUGUUGACUGCUCUUGUUGAUUCACGUCAUAAGAAGGUUUAUAAGGUGAAGAACUGUAUUACAGAGAUCGAUCCAGAGAAAGAAAAGGAACAAAAAGAACGGGUUGAAGGCCAAACUAUUAGAGCCAAUGAACUUCUUCACAGGAAAAGGGAAAAAGUGAACCGCAAGUAUGCACAACCCGUCCAUAGAGGGCGGCAGCAACUUUCUCCAGGGUUUUUGGAGGAUGCACUUGAUGAGGAAGAUGAGGCAGAUGACUAUUACAGUUCUCAUCGGACUUCGGCUCAUAGUCAUUUUGAGGAAGAUUUGGAGGCAGAAGCAAGGGCUGAGAGACGCAUAAUCAACGCUAAGAAGUCAAAUGUACAUAUGAAUGCCCAACGAAAGCCAUCAGUGUCUGCUGCUCGCCAAUCAAGGCGCCCGCUUGAUGAAUAUUCAGAGAGUGAAAGGGAGGAAUCUGAAUAUGAAAGUGAUGGUGCGGAGGUUGAUCGGUCUCCACUGCAUGCAAGAGAUGAGCCAGACCACGAAGAUGAAUAUGAAGAAGAGGCAGAUGAAGAAGCUGCUGAUGCAAUCUCUCCAUCGGAAGGAGAUGAAGAUGAGGAGCCAAGGGGCAAGACGAAGGAAACCGGAAGCAGCUCUCUGAAACGCAAGGAGAUCGACUCUGACGAGGAAUCUCCUCCCAGAAAGACAACAGUUCAUCGGAGAAAGGCAGUUGUGUUUGAUAGCGACGAAGACUAACUUUUCUGUGACUGGUGGUGCCUCUCCGAUCUUUUUCCUAGGAAAAAGACAUGCUAGCAUAAGUGCACAUUCAUGCGACAAAGUUGCGCCAGGAUGAUUUUGGCUCAGAAGAGAGAUUGCAUGGAGGCAGCUUUACCACUUACAGUAUCUACACUGACACACAAAAGAAUCUUCACAAACUUGCAUAUUUUUCCAGUAUAUGAUGCUUGUAAGACUUUUGAGUUCAUUUCUGAUACUACCUAAUGCAUUAUUCUUGUCACGUUUCAAUGGCAGGAAUUCUUGGAGACAAAUUGAUGCAGGGUACCGGUCGGCUUAACGCGCGAACCGGUCGGCAAUUAACAUGGGUGAGCGAACCGGCCUAAACCAAUUGGUUAACGUGUCGUGCUUUUUCAGCACCUGCGUGAUUUGCCCUGCCCGUGUACCUGCUUUGUCAUUGGCAAGAAUAGCAAAU
This is a non-coding RNA of Musa acuminata subsp. malaccensis (wild Malaysian banana), 2520 nucleotides long. The record is from RefSeq and is a predicted model, not a curated record. NCBI's taxonomy places the organism in Eukaryota, Viridiplantae, Streptophyta, Magnoliopsida, Zingiberales, Musaceae.